GGAAUAUUGCACAAUGGGGGAAACCCUGAUGCAGCGACGCCGCGUGAGUGAAGAAGUAUUUCGGUAUGUAAAGCUCUAUCAGCAGGGAAGAUGAUGUCGGUACCUGACUAAGAAGCCCCGGCUAACUACGUGCCAGCAGCCGCGGUAAUACGUAGGGGGCAAGCGUUAUCCGGAUUUACUGGGUGUAAAGGGAGCGUAGACGGCAUGGCAAGUCUGAAGUGAAAGCCCGGGGCUUAACCGCGGGACUGCUUUGGAAACUGUCAGGCUGGAGUGCAGGAGAGGUAAGUGGAAUUCCUAGUGUAGCGGUGAAAUGCGUAGAUAUUAGGAGGAACACCAGUGGCGAAGGCGGCUUACUGGACUGUAACUGACGUUGAGGCUCGAAAGCGUGGGGAGCAAACA
RNAcentral lists this ribosomal RNA (399 nucleotides) under uncultured Clostridium sp. RNAcentral describes it as "bacterial SSU rRNA". It matches the Rfam family "Bacterial small subunit ribosomal RNA", at positions 358 to 774 of the family's 1533-position model. Lineage: Bacteria; Bacillati; Bacillota; Clostridia; Eubacteriales; Clostridiaceae. The record is from RNAcentral.